CCCUUCAGAGGGGGACAACAGUUGGAAACGACUGCUAAUACCGCAUACGAUCUAAACUCGGCAUCGAGGAUAGAUGAAAGGUGGCCUCUACAUGUAAGCUAUCACUGAAGGAGGGGAUUGCGUCUGAUUAGCUAGUUGGAGGGGUAACGGCCCACCAAGGCGAUGAUCAGUAGCCGGUCUGAGAGGAUGAACGGCCACAUUGGGACUGAGACACGGCCCAG
This 221-nucleotide ribosomal RNA is filed under the name uncultured Veillonellaceae bacterium. RNAcentral describes it as "partial 16S ribosomal RNA". It matches the Rfam family "Bacterial small subunit ribosomal RNA", at positions 129 to 334 of the family's 1533-position model. The record is from RNAcentral. Lineage: Bacteria; Bacillati; Bacillota; Negativicutes; Veillonellales; Veillonellaceae.